UACUAGGCCGUGAUGUCAUGCUCGUGGCCGCUAUGUACAGGCCGCGGGAAUUCGAUUUUAGCAUGGAAUAAUGGAAUAGGACGUGUGGUUCUAUUUUGUUGGUUUCUAGGACCGCCGUAAUGAUUAAUAGGGACAGUCGGGGGCAUCAGUAUUCAAUUGUCAGAGGUGAAAUUCUUGGAUUUAUUGAAGACUAACUACUGCGAAAGCAUUGCCAAGGAUGUUUUCAUUAAUCAGGAACGAAAGUUAGGGGAUCGAAGACGAUCAGAUACCGUCGUAGUCUUAACCAUAAACUAUGCCGACUAGGGAUCGGACGAUGUUAUUUUUUGACGCGUUCGGCACCUUACGAGAAAUCAAAGUGCUUGGGCUCCAGGGGGAGUAUGGUCGCAAGGCUGAAACUUAAAGAAAUUGACGGAAGGGCACCACCAGGGGUGGAGCCUGCGGCUUAAUUUGACUCAACACGGGGAAACUCACCAGGUCCAGACACAAUGAGGAUUGACAGAUUGAGAGCUCUUUCUUGAUUUUGUGGGUGGUGGUGCAUGGCCGUUCUUAGUUGGUGGAGUGAUUUGUCUGCUUAAUUGCGAUAACGAACGAGACCUUAACCUGCUAAAUAGCCCGUAUUGCUUUGGCAGUACGCUGGCUUCUUAGAGGGACUAUCGGCUCAAGCCGAUGGAAGUUU
RNAcentral lists this ribosomal RNA (676 nucleotides) under uncultured fungus. RNAcentral's name for it is "SSU rRNA". It matches the Rfam family "Eukaryotic small subunit ribosomal RNA", at positions 748 to 1446 of the family's 1831-position model. The record is from RNAcentral. Lineage: Eukaryota; Fungi.